GUCCAUGCCGUAAACGUUGGGCACUAGGUGUGGGGAACAUUCCACGUUUUCCGCGCCGUAGCUAACGCAUUAAGUGCCCCGCCUGGGGAGUACGGCCGCAAGGCUAAAAACUCAAAGGAAUUGACGGGGGCCCGCACAAGCGGCGGAGCAUGCGGAUUAAUUCGAUGCAACGCGAAGAACCUUACCAAGGCUUGACAUACACCGGAAGUGCUCAGAGAUGGGCAUGUCUUCGGACUGGUGUACAGGUGGUGCAUGGUUGUCGU
This 263-nucleotide ribosomal RNA is filed under the name uncultured bacterium. RNAcentral describes it as "partial 16S ribosomal RNA". It matches the Rfam family "Bacterial small subunit ribosomal RNA", at positions 793 to 1055 of the family's 1533-position model. The record is from RNAcentral.